CUCACUUCUCAUCGCAACCUCUCUCGUUAUUCUUCCAAAUUCUCCACCUUCAGUAUCCAAGAGUAAUCAAUCUCCACCUUCAUCGAUUCAUCUUCAUCUUCAUCUUGCUCACACAUCUUCAUCAUUCUUCACCUUCAUAGAACAUCGAUUCAUCGCCAUCUUCACCUUGCUGCUCGCAUAAAUCGCUUCAACACAAAAGAUUCAAUUUCAUUCCGAUUUCAAUUUCAAAUUUCGAUCUCAAUUUGUUUCCGAUUUCAAAUUUCCAAUUUCAUUCCGCAUAAAUCGCUUUGCCAUCUUCACCUCAAAUUUCGAUUUCAAGAUUAAGCAAAGCUCGUGUCUUAGUCAAUGGAAUGAAAGGAAACAAUAGCUGAAGUAAAGCUAGCUAUCACUUGUCUAUAUGAGUUGAAAGAAAGACUAUACAAGUUUAAAUUGGAAGAAGAAAGAUUUUAAGCUCUUUUUCUAGCUUUCAAAUUAUUUGAUUUUGUUUUGUUUAAUUCAGGAAAAUGUCAAAACCAAGCACCCUCAAUUGUUGACGAACAAAGGUUUCACAACUCAAAGGCAAAUAUGCAUUGAUACUACUAUGAAGAAUUUGAAGUUUUCUCACUGGCAAAGGAUAAAUACAAGACUAUGGGAUUUGGACUAUUUGGAAAGAUAGAAAUGGUACAGUUUUUGCUAAUGGAGCGAAGGACCUUUAGCAGACGGGUGCUUUUUAAUGUUGCUGCUGUGUUUCUUUUGCUGGUGCGGCUGGUGCUUGCAGUGUGGAUGUUGGCUAAAUUUCACGGUGUUUGGAAGUUGUUCAUUAGCUUUGCUUUUGUUGAGAACUGCAUGUAUCUGUUGGCCUUCUUGUGCGCUUCAGGGCUUACAAGGUUAUAUUUUGGUUCUGUGCUUAGUGAUAUGUUGACUACGUGUCUCGUCAGUUUGUGUGAGAUGCUUUUUGUUUUGGUUGAAGCCAUUUUAGAGUUUCUUUCUUAGUAUUUUGGUUUGUGCUAAUUUUUGUAACAGGGAGGGGUUUUAGUGGCUUUGUAGUUUAAUGGUUUUGAGCUUCUUGCAAAUUGCAAAUGGCUUUGUAGUUUAGUGGUUUUGGCUUUGUAAAGUUGUUUAGAGCCAUAAUGUAGUAUCAAGUGAUUUGAACUAAGUUGAAGUAAUUUUUAUGUAAUAGAAUUUACUAUGCAAUUGAUGGCUUUAAGAGCACUCAAAAAUAACAUUUUUUUUCAUCGA
Trifolium pratense (red clover) is the source of this 1218-nucleotide long non-coding RNA. RefSeq lists it as uncharacterized. The record is from RefSeq and is a predicted model, not a curated record. The transcript has 4 exons. NCBI's taxonomy places the organism in Eukaryota, Viridiplantae, Streptophyta, Magnoliopsida, Fabales, Fabaceae.